CGAAUCGCGGGUUGCUAUUAAGCUUCGGCCGGGACUGGUCUUUUCUCAGGUCCGGACUACUCGUAACUCUCGGGUAGUUGGCCCUGAUUCCCGUUUCCAAGGGGGGAGGAGAUUCUUUUCUCUGCUACGUCUUCUUCCUGCUGAGAUUUCCGGUUGGAGAUCUCAAUCGGAGAAUUCCGUUGAGGAAAGAGGGAUCGCAGAUCGCUGUGGUCCUGAUCGAUUAUCUGAGGUUUGAUUUGUAGAAUUUCCUCCGAGCAUCUCAUAGAAGAUUUCAACCCUAAUCUUGUAACUAAGGAAGGAUGUCCGGCCAAAGCCAGCGACUGAAUGUCGUUCCCACGGUGACGAUGCUUGGGGUGAUGAAGGCGCGCCUCGUGGGCGCUACCCGCGGCCAUGCCCUCCUAAAGAAGAAGAGCGAUGCCCUCACUGUCCAGUUUCGAGCAAUCCUAAAGAAGAUCGUCACUACCAAGGAAUCGAUGGGUGAAAUCAUGCGUGCCUCCUCCUUCGCCCUUACUGAGGCCAAGUACGUAGCUGGUGAGAACAUCAAGCAUGUUGUCCUCGAGUCGGUUAAGUCUGCCUCCCUCCGUGUGCGCUCCCGCCAGGAGAAUAUUGCCGGAGUCAAGCUCCCACGGUUCGAGCACUUCACUGACUCAGGUGCUGGCGAUACCAAGGCUGACCUCACUGGACUUGCCCGUGGAGGCCAGCAGAUCCAGGCUUGCCGUGCUGCACAUAUUAAGGCCAUUGAGGUCCUUGUGGAGCUUGCCUCGCUCCAGACCUCUUUCCUCACCCUUGAUGAAGCCAUUAAGACCACGAACCGGAGAGUCAAUGCCCUUGAGAAUGUCGUCAAGCCGCGCCUGGAGAACACCAUCAACUACAUCCGGGGGGAGCUUGAUGAACUUGAGCGAGAGGACUUCUUCCGGCUGAAGAAGAUACAGGGGUACAAGAAGAGGGAGGUUGAGCGGCAGCUCCAGGCUGCGAAGCAGUUUGCUGAAGAGCAGUUUGCUGAGAAGGUCUCACUCAAGAAGGGUAUCUCCAUUAACUCUGCCCACAACUUGCUUGUUGCUGGGGCUGAGAAGGAUGCGGAUAUUAUCUUUUGAUGUGGGAACAUUCAUUUGGUGAUUAGAUAUGCUCAUACCUCAGCCCCUCCUGCUAUUGGUUACUCAUCAGAUUACGAGGGUAUUGGAGAUAUAAAAUUGCAACAAUGCAAUCAUGGGGCUGACUGUCUAUGCUGAUGGGACACUUCAACUAACUUGUCACAUUGCUAAGCCUAAGAAGAUAGCGUGGAGUCAUUUACCUACCUGUGAUGUCUAAUGACACAAAAAGCUUUUUGGUUGUGCCGGAAAGGCUUGUGGGACUACUUCCUCUUGGCUGCGCCGCCAGUCCGCCGGCCCUUCAGCUCCUCUGGCUCUUGCUCUCGGUAUCUCCGGUCGAAAUCCCAAACCAUUCCUGGAUAGUGAUCCUACCAAAUUAAAAUGUCCAGCGACCGCCAUUUGCCGAAGGGCUUGGUUGGUCACUGGGCAACCUACUUUGGAUGGCUCUACAUGGUAGAAUACUACAUGGUCGAACAUAGCUGAAGGACACGAAAAAGGGAGUUCCUCUCCAAUCCCUCUCUCGCUCGAGAAUCACAAGGAGCCACGACGCCUAGGCAGCAGCUAAACGCGAUUGCCAAGCCAACAAACCUUCUUUCAUGUGAUUCGAUGGCAAUAUUCUUCUACUGAAAAUGGUCAUGGAAACAGAAUAUUCCAAUCGAUAUCUUUUAAAGUAUCACUUUAUGUCAGCAAAGAUAAUAAGGGCCAAUAUUUUUGUUGUGAAUUUUACACAAAAGAUCUAUUUAGCUAUUGAUUUUACAGAAGAAAGAUUGAAUUUUCCGUA
Molecule: RNA transcript, 1869 nt
Organism: Phoenix dactylifera (date palm)
Lineage: Eukaryota; Viridiplantae; Streptophyta; Magnoliopsida; Arecales; Arecaceae
Gene name: V-type proton ATPase subunit D-like
Source: RefSeq, a predicted model, not a curated record